GUCCCGAGCCCCAGGCCGGGGCGAGGCCCGUUCCAGCGCCUCCUUCCCGCUGAGCCGCGGGCGGGCGGCGCAGGCCCGGGGGGAGGGGGCGCCGCGGCUGGCUGCAGUCCCCCCUGCUGCCGCGCUCCGCGCCCAGCCCGACCGCUUCUGCCCUGCUGCCGCGCGGGAGCCCGGGCACCCGAAGCUGGGGGCGCGGCCGCGCUCGCCUCGCGGGGCCGGGAGCGGACAGGCCCUGCCCUGAAGGGGUGAAGCGGAGGGGAACGUGGGAGGCGGAUCCGGCCCCGGCGGCCGCCCGGCGUCUCAACCCAACGCCCCCUCCCCGCACGCAGCCCCAGGCGGACCCAGGCCCCUGCCCAUGAGGGGUACCCCCGGCUCGGAAGAGUUCCGGUGGCAGGGAGCAGUUCCAGGCAGCGGCGCCGGAGGCAGAGGAAGAAGAGAGAGUGGUCAGCUUGGGCGGCUCGGACCCUCCCCACAGCUUUUGAAGACCGGGGACGCCCCAAAGUGUACGCUUGUCACAGCCGUUCCGCCUGCUGGGACCCCUGCUUGGACGCUUUGCACCUCCUAGGUGGCGGCGCCACCGCCGUGCCACCCGGCUCUUCCGCGAUCUCUCUCUUCCUAGCGGCAGUCACGGCCAAGAAGCUGUGGAUGGCUGCGAUUUUGGUCAAGACUGUUCUUCCAUCUGACCUGACUUGGACCUAAAUAUCCUGAGGAGUAUGGCAGCCGUGUAGGGCCCAAAAGGCUAUAUUUUUUGAGUAAUGCCUAUGUGCCUGAUACUGUGCCGGGAACCGAAGAUACAUGUAUGGGUAAGUCAUAGCUUCUCCUAUGAAGAGGUUCCG
Molecule: long non-coding RNA, 836 nt
Organism: Hipposideros armiger (great roundleaf bat)
Lineage: Eukaryota; Metazoa; Chordata; Mammalia; Chiroptera; Hipposideridae
Exons: 3
Source: RefSeq, a predicted model, not a curated record